Molecule: ribosomal RNA, 426 nt
Filed under: uncultured bacterium
Lineage: Bacteria
Description: bacterial SSU rRNA
Rfam family: Bacterial small subunit ribosomal RNA
Source: RNAcentral
GGGGAAUAUUGGGCAAUGGGCGCAAGCCUGACCCAGCCAUGCCGCGUGAGUGAUGAAGGCCUUCGGGUCGUAAAGCUCUGUGGGGAGGGAAGAAAAACCUUGUGGCUAACAUCCACGAGGCUUGACGGUACCUCCUUAGCAAGCACCGGCUAACUCCGUGCCAGCAGCCGCGGUAAUACGGAGGGUGCAAACGUUGCUCGGAAUCAUUGGGCGUAAAGCGCACGUAGGCGGCCUGUUAAGUCGGGUGUGAAAUCCCUGGGCUCAACCCAGGAAGUGCACCCGAAACUGGCGGGCUUGAGUACUGAAGAGGGUCGCGGAAUUCCCGGUGUAGAGGUGAAAUUCGUAGAUAUCGGGAGGAACACCAGUGGCGAAGGCGGCGACCUGGGCAGAUACUGACGCUGAGGUGCGAAAGCGUGGGGAGCAAAC